Molecule: long non-coding RNA, 2772 nt
Organism: Cygnus olor (mute swan)
Lineage: Eukaryota; Metazoa; Chordata; Aves; Anseriformes; Anatidae
Exons: 3
Source: RefSeq, a predicted model, not a curated record
CAUAAUUCACAGAUUAACAGACAUCCUGCUCUCUUUCCUAAGCCUCAGUCCUUCUGCUGUCUACCCAACUGGUAGAAGCUUUUUAAAAAAAAAAUAUUUUAUUUUAAUAUUUCUUCUAUUUCUAAAUCAUAACAUGACUGUGUAAAAUGAAACACUGGCAAGCUAAGAUGGCAAUCACAACUUUUUCAUACUUGGUGCCAUCAAUUCAAACUCAUAAAAAAUUGCUCUUUAAAAAAAUUGAAGAAAAAUAUCAGGUGUGUGGCAUUUUGUCAUCUCUGCAUAUCUACAAGAAACAAAUACAUGCAACUGACCAUUACCCUUUGGAGAUGUGAGGGGUAAAUCACCUGCCAUAUAUGCAAAGCAAAAUCCAUCACCCUUAAUGAUGAGCCAGCUGUGAUCGAUGAGUCCCUCUCUGAUCCGCAACCACAGGUACAAGCUACAUUGAACUGCAACUUACUGGUAAGUAAGAUUAAUUACUGUGAACAUCCAGCAACAAGGAAUUUUUUUUUUUUUAAUGUAAUCAAUAUGAAGCUAUGCUAAAUGCCCAGUUUUCAGUGAUAUGCCUACUGAACCUUUAUAAAUGCAUCAGUCUAGUAUCCCCAACUUCUGCUAUUCCAGAAUUUGGGAUGUUUGAAACUCAGAAUCCUACCAUGUGUGAGCACAAUCUCUUAAUUACAAAUCAGCGGUAUCUGAUUUUAAAUUAAUGCAGUGUUAAACCAGUUUUCUUGCACACUGGACUGCAUAUUGUACUUAACAGGAGUAAUUUUCACUGAACUACUGAGAACUAUUAAUGACAACCCUUUCUGGGAAGGACAGACUGAAACAGCAGCUAGCAUUUCAAUGCUACAGGCACACAAACAAGGUCUUAUUUUCUGAUGAAGUUGAAGAUAUCUUUCAAAAACAAAGGGCUGUUGAGGCAAAUUUGAAUUAUCUUCUACUUACAAAGGGUAAGGUGUGCACAGGCAGCUAUUGCAGACAAGCAGAUGCAAUGUAUAUUUACAGCUUAACUUGCUCUAAAAUUCUUUCUAUGUCCAUGCUCUAAAUCAAUGUAGGAUUUUGACAGCAUAGUGUCUUAAGAAGGAAUACAUUUUUCAACUUUUCCUUAUUGGAAAAGCACUCUUUCCAUCCCCCGCCUCACUGUAUGUUGAAAACACUUCUCCAUCUUCAUCAUUGUUGAUAAGAACUUGAAAUUUGCCAUAGUAAUAUUUUCCUGUCCAACAGCUCCCCUUGCAGAAAAUGCCUGAGACAAUGCCUCAGCUUAACAGCUGGGUAAAAUCCACAUCGAUGCAGUUUGAAAGACGCAACUUUUUAAAUGAAUUAGAUUCCUAGGGUCCUUGAAUAAUUUUGUAUAGAAAAAGCUUACCAAAGCAGGCUAUAAGUUCCUUCAUCCGCUGAUUUUCCUUGGUAAAAUAAAAUAACCCAUUAUCUAAACCGGUAGUUGAUAGCCAACACAAGCCUCAGGAUAAAUGAGUCUGCUUGCAGAGAAUUCUCCAAGCUACCAAAAAGGAAAGGUCGCACACUACAGCACAAAUCACAGGCAGCUUCUGUUCUGUGAUGUUCCACUCACUAUCAAGCACAAAAUGGGAAGGUCUAACGCAGAAGAAUAGUUCUCUUCCUCAGCGCUUUCUUGCACGUUUUUGUAUGGAUACUUCAAAAACUAGCAUUGGAAGUAGGAAAAAAAAAUAGUUGCAUCUGACCAAAUCAGCUUAAAAACAACACAGAAGGAAGUGGUUAUACAACAGGAAUCUGAACUAGGAAAAUCACAAUUCAUUGUUUCCCUGUUUGAGAAACAGAAGAUAGCUGAAAGAUCGUUUUGUGUAUUUGCCUGCUCUUUACAUCAGAUACGUGUAUGAUUUAACCGCAUGCUGACAAGUACAAGGGACCAUACGAAGAAGGAUCAGCCCUAAUGUGGCCUGAAGCCAAUACACACACAUCCCAUUACACUGCAAGCAUCUGACAAUAAACUGUACUCUAAACCCAGAAGACUCCCAUGCUGAAAUGUCUACAAGGAUCAAAGAUAGAAAGAAAUAUUACAUCAACAUUUGAAGAAAAGCAAGAUGAAAAUUACGAUUUCCAAUUACCCUGCAAGGCAACAACUCCCUUUAGCUUACUCCAACGCGCCAGACCCCGAGUCUUAAACAUCCAGGCAGCUGCAAAGGCCAUGGAAAGCUUGAAUUUGAAGGAGCUCAGAGUUUCCUCAUACACUGCUACAAGUCAACGGAAAGACUGGGCUGGAACACAGGUUCAUCCAGUCAAGAUUGGAUUUUCUUCUGGAUUUUUACUGAAGAGCAUGUAGUUCUACUUUUGUCUUGACUACUAUACUAUCAAAGUGGAUGGAAGAAACAUUUAAGACAUUAAUAUCCAAACAAUGUGUCACAGACUGAGAAAAAUAGUUCAUUACUUCCAUAAAUAUCUACUAUCUUAUCUCCUGUUCUUUAAAACAUCUAGUAAAAAUGUUCUUUGUUAUGAAGUUUGUAUAAAGCCAAAAUUCAAAUGAGUAAUUAGCGUGCAUGUCUGUAUGGAUUAUGACUAUUUCUAACUUAAACACAUGAAGGGGUCCAAAUCAUCUCCUUAUUUGCUCAAACCUUGACUAUUUCAACAUGUUUCUCUGAGAGAUGAUUCAGCUUCAGGGAGGCCAUGGACAAACGCGCCUCAUGUUGAAAAAUGAUGUAAACAAAGUAAAUAAAAUGCAGGAAAACAGGCACAGGAGCAGCCUUCCACUAGGAAAAGCAGUAGUGAAAAAUAAAGAACUUUUUCAGAGAUGUUACUGGA